GAUAGCAGGGGAUCGUAAGGCCUUGCACUUUUGGAGCGGCCGAUGUCUGAUUAGCUAGUUGGUGGGGUAAGGGCCUACCAAGGCGACGAUCAGUAGUUGGUCUGAGAGGACGACCAGCCACACUGGGACUGAGACACGGCCCAGACUCCUACGGGAGGCAGCAGUGGGGAAUUUUGGACAAUGGGCGCAAGCCUGAUCCAGCAAUGCCGCGUGAGUGAAGAAGGCCUUCGGGUUGUAAAGCUCUUUCAGUCGAGAAGAAAAGGCUACGGUAAAUAAUCGUAGUUCAUGACGGUACCGACAGAAGAAGCACCGGCUAACUACGUGCCAGCAGCCGCGGUAAUACGUAGGGUGCGAGCGUUAAUCGGAAUUACUGGGCGUAAAGGGUGCGCAGGCGGCUUUGUAAGUCAGAUGUGAAAUCCCCGGGCUUAACCUGGGAAUUGCGUUUGAAACUACAAGGCUAGA
Molecule: ribosomal RNA, 462 nt
Filed under: uncultured beta proteobacterium
Lineage: Bacteria; Pseudomonadati; Pseudomonadota; Betaproteobacteria
Description: bacterial SSU rRNA
Rfam family: Bacterial small subunit ribosomal RNA
Source: RNAcentral